UACAGAGGCCCCAAGCGUUACUGAGAAUCACUGGGUUUAAAGGGUGCGUAGGUGGCGCGUUAAGUCCGUUGUGAAAUCCCUUGGCUCAACCAAGGAAAUGCUUCGGAUACUGGCGUGCUUGAGGCUAGUAAGGGUCACUGGAACUGACGGUGGUGCGGUGAAAUGCGUAGAUAUCGGGAGGAACACCUGUGGCGAAAGCGGCUCACUGGACCACUACUGACGCUGAUGCGCGAAAGCUAGGGGAGCAAACAGG
RNAcentral lists this ribosomal RNA (253 nucleotides) under uncultured bacterium. RNAcentral's name for it is "partial 16S ribosomal RNA". It matches the Rfam family "Bacterial small subunit ribosomal RNA", at positions 524 to 776 of the family's 1533-position model. The record is from RNAcentral.